AACGAACGCUGGCGGCAGGCCUAACACAUGCAAGUCGAGCGGACCCUUCGGGGUUAGCGGCGGACGGGUGAGUAACGCGUGGGAAUAUGCCCUUCUCUACGGAAUAGUCCUGGGAAACUGGGGGUAAUACCGUAUACGCCCUUUGGGGGAAAGAUUUAUCGGGGAAGGAUUAGCCCGCGUUGGAUUAGGUAGUUGGUGGGGUAAUGGCCUACCAAGCCGACGAUCCAUAGCUGGUUUGAGAGGAUGAUCAGCCACACUGGGACUGAGACACGGCCCAGACUCCUACGGGAGGCAGCAGUGGGGAAUCUUAGACAAUGGGGGCAACCCUGAUCUAGCCAUGCCGCGUGAGUGAUGAAGGCCUUAGGGUUGUAAAGCUCUUUCAGCUGGGAAGAUAAUGACGGUACCAGCAGAAGAAGCCCCGGCUAACUCCGUG
Molecule: ribosomal RNA, 433 nt
Filed under: uncultured bacterium
Lineage: Bacteria
Description: partial 16S ribosomal RNA
Rfam family: Bacterial small subunit ribosomal RNA
Source: RNAcentral